AACGAACGCUGGCGGCAUGCCUAACACAUGCAAGUCGAACGAGACCUUCGGGUCUAGUGGCGCACGGGUGCGUAACGCGUGGGAACCUGCCCUUAGGUUCGGAAUAACUCCCCGAAAGGGGUGCUAAUACCGGGUAAUGUCUUCGGACCAAUGAUUUAUCGCCUUUGGAUGGGCCCGCGUUGGAUUAGCUAGUUGGUAGGGUAAAAGCCUACCAAGGCGACGAUCCAUAGCUGGUCUGAGAGGAUGAUCAGCCACACUGGGACUGAGACACGGCCCAGACUCCUACGGGAGGCAGCAGUGGGGAAUAUUGGACAAUGGGCGAAAGCCUGAUCCAGCAAUGCCGCGUGAGUGAUGAAGGCCUUAGGGUUGUAAAGCUCUUUUACCCGGGAUGAUAAUGACAGUACCGGGAGAAUAAGCUCCGGCUAACUCCGUG
Molecule: ribosomal RNA, 433 nt
Filed under: uncultured bacterium
Lineage: Bacteria
Description: partial 16S ribosomal RNA
Rfam family: Bacterial small subunit ribosomal RNA
Source: RNAcentral